CCAAACAGCUUGACCAUCAGCGUCUGCUGGAAUCUGCCGAGUCUGUAAAGUGAACGGGAGGAAUCACAUCUGCUUCAGAGACAAGGUGGCUGAUAAUGUUUAUGACAUGUUUCGAACCCAGUACACUCUGUACAGCCAGGCCUACCAGCACAAGAUCGGCAAUAUCAGUCAGAAAAAAAUUAUAGAUGCCCUCUUAGAAGCUAGAGACAAGCUCCCAAAGAUCUCACCAAUU
Molecule: long non-coding RNA, 232 nt
Organism: Cyprinus carpio (common carp)
Lineage: Eukaryota; Metazoa; Chordata; Actinopteri; Cypriniformes; Cyprinidae
Exons: 3
Source: RefSeq, a predicted model, not a curated record